Molecule: non-coding RNA, 890 nt
Filed under: Desulfosporosinus metallidurans
Lineage: Bacteria; Bacillati; Bacillota; Clostridia; Eubacteriales; Desulfitobacteriaceae
Description: Desulfosporosinus sp. OL Bacterial large subunit ribosomal RNA
Rfam family: Bacterial large subunit ribosomal RNA
Source: Rfam by way of RNAcentral
CGACUGGAAGAGCACGUCCAAGCAGUGAGGCUGAGUUUACAGGCAAAUCCGUAGACUUAAGGCUAGGCUGUGAUGGCGGGAAGGAAUUAUAGUACCGAAGUCACCGAUCUCAUGCUGCCAAGAAAAGCCUCUAGUGAGGAAUGGGGUACCCGUACCGUAAACCGACACAGGUGGGUGAGGAGAGAAUCCUAAGGCGCUCGGGAGAACUCUCGUUAAGGAACUCGGCAAAAUGACCCCGUAACUUCGGGAGAAGGGGUGCCUCGAUAGGGUGAAAGCCCGAGGAGGCCGCAGUGAAAAGGCCCAAGCGACUGUUUAGCAAAAACACAGGUCUCUGCAAAACCGUAAGGUGAAGUAUAGGGGCUGACGCUGCCCGGUGCUGGAAGGUUAAGGGGAGAGGUUAGCGUAAGCGAAGCUUUUGAACCGAAGCCCCAGUAAACGGCGGCCGUAACUAUAACGGUCCUAAGGUAGCGAAAUUCCUUGUCAGGUAAGUUCUGACCCGCACGAAUGGCGUAACGACUUGGGCACUGUCUCGACGAGAGACCCGGCUGAAAUUGUAAUACCUGUGAACGAUGCAGGUUACCCGCGACAAGACGGAAAGACCCCAUGGAGCUUUACUGUAGCCUGAUAUUGAAUUUUGGUACGAUCUGUACAGGGAUAGGUGGGAGCCAGAGAAGCCGGACCGCUAGGUUCGGUGGAGGCAAUGGUGGGAUACCACCCUGAUCGUAUUGAAAUUCUAACCUACAUCCCUAAACGGGAUGAGGGACCGUGUCAGGUGGGCAGUUUGACUGGGGCGGUCGCCUCCUAAAGAGUAACGGAGGCGCCCAAAGGUUCCCUCAGAAUGGUUGGAAAUCAUUCGCAGAGUGUAAAGGCAGAAGGGAGCUUGACUGCGA